RNAcentral lists this ribosomal RNA (464 nucleotides) under uncultured Geobacteraceae bacterium. RNAcentral describes it as "partial 16S ribosomal RNA". It matches the Rfam family "Bacterial small subunit ribosomal RNA", at positions 338 to 794 of the family's 1533-position model. Lineage: Bacteria; Pseudomonadati; Thermodesulfobacteriota; Desulfuromonadia; Geobacterales; Geobacteraceae. The record is from RNAcentral.
CCUACGGGAGGCAGCAGUGGGGAAUUUUGCGCAAUGGGGGCAACCCUGACGCAGCCACGCCGCGUGAGUGAUGAAGGCCUUCGGGUCGUAAAGCUCUGUCAGAGGGGAAGAAGUGCAGGUGGUGAACAACCAUUCUGUUUGACGGUACCCUCAAAGGAAGCACCGGCUAACUCCGUGCCAGCAGCCGCGGUAAUACGGAGGGUGCGAGCGUUGUUCGGAAUUAUUGGGCGUAAAGCGCGUGUAGGCGGUUUGUUAAGUCGGAGGUAAAAGCCCCGGGCGCAACCUGGAAAGGGCAUUGGAUACGGGCAGACUUGAGUACGGGAGAGGAGAGUGGAAUUCCCAGUGUAGGAGUAAAAUCCGUAGAUAUUGGGAGGAACACCGGUGGCGAAGGCGGCUCUCUGGACCGAUACUGACGCUGAGACGCGAAAGCGUGGGGAGCAAACAGGAUUAGAUCCCCUUGUAGU